UUUCUUCUAGAUGUUCUGACAUAUUAUUCAAUGUAUAAAUACCAGAAGAUUUCCCAUCCCAAAUCAAGUCAGGUUUGCAACAUAAUUGUAUUAAUCCUGGGAUUGCUGUCCAGCCUGGGAUUGCUUCUAGGGACACACGUAUCAUCAAAUAUAUCGACCACCGUUCACUUAGUGGCAGCCUUCUUGGCCUUUGGAUUAGAAGCCGUGUACAAUAUCUGUCACUGUAUCCGGUACUACAGCACAGUUUUCUUGCUGUCCAUGAAUGGCUGAUAACGGCUGCAAUGUACAGCUACAAAAUGACAUUUGCCCAAGAACUUCAGCACCUACGCCUAAUAUUGCCUAAAAAACUCAAGGAUGACUGGAUAUGCGAGAAUAAAUCAUCUGAUAAUGAUGGAGAAUUUGCAGUCUAAAAAUCACCAGUGAACUUCCCAGUUUGCAACAUAAGAGUAAGAGCUGAGAAACUUACAGUAAAGGGUAAGCUUACCCUGCACCUCAGCAAAGAGGCCAAUCAUGUCAAUAUAUGAAAGAGCUGCACUGCGUCUGAUCAGUUCCUACCAAGAAAGAAGAGUCGAGAGU
This is a long non-coding RNA of Xenopus tropicalis (tropical clawed frog), 576 nucleotides long. RefSeq lists it as uncharacterized. The transcript is spliced from 4 exons. NCBI's taxonomy places the organism in Eukaryota, Metazoa, Chordata, Amphibia, Anura, Pipidae. The record is from RefSeq and is a predicted model, not a curated record.